CAGCCGUAAACUAUGCGCGUUAGGUGUAUCGGUGACCACGAGUCACCGAGGUGCCGAAGGGAAACCGUGAAACGUGCCGCCUGGGAAGUACGGUCGCAAGGCUGAAACUUAAAGGAAUUGGCGGGGAGCACCACAACAGGUGGAGCCUGCGGUUUAAUUGGACUCAACGCCGGGAAGCUCACCGGAUAAGACAGCGGAAUGAUUGCCGGGCUGAAGACUCUGCAUGACUAGCUGAGAGGAGGUGCAUGGCGUAGACGUCU
Molecule: ribosomal RNA, 260 nt
Filed under: uncultured archaeon
Lineage: Archaea
Description: partial 16S ribosomal RNA
Rfam family: Archaeal small subunit ribosomal RNA
Source: RNAcentral